Molecule: ribosomal RNA, 840 nt
Filed under: uncultured Alteromonas sp.
Lineage: Bacteria; Pseudomonadati; Pseudomonadota; Gammaproteobacteria; Alteromonadales; Alteromonadaceae
Description: bacterial SSU rRNA
Rfam family: Bacterial small subunit ribosomal RNA
Source: RNAcentral
AGAGUUUGAUCCUGGCUCAGAUUGAACGCUGGCGGCAGGCCUAACACAUGCAAGUCGAACGGUAACAUUUCUAGCUUGCUAGAAGAUGACGAGUGGCGGACGGGUGAGUAAUGCUUGGGAACUUGCCUUUGUGAGGGGGAUAACAGUUGGAAACGACUGCUAAUACCGCAUAAUGUCUUCGGACCAAACGGGGCUUCGGCUCCGGCGCAAAGAGAGGCCCAAGUGAGAUUAGCUAGUUGGUAAGGUAACGGCUUACCAAGGCGACGAUCUCUAGCUGUUCUGAGAGGAAGAUCAGCCACACUGGGACUGAGACACGGCCCAGACUCCUACGGGAGGCAGCAGUGGGGAAUAUUGCACAAUGGGGGAAACCCUGAUGCAGCCAUGCCGCGUGUGUGAAGAAGGCCUUCGGGUUGUAAAGCACUUUCAGUUGUGAGGAAAAGUUAGUAGUUAACACCUGCUAACCGUGACGUUAACAACAGAAGAAGCACCGGCUAACUCCGUGCCAGCAGCCGCGGUAAUACGGAGGGUGCGAGCGUUAAUCGGAAUUACUGGGCGUAAAGCGCACGCAGGCGGUUUGUUAAGCUAGAUGUGAAAGCCCCGGGCUCAACCUGGGAUGGUGAUUUAGAACUGGCAGACUAGAGUCUUGGAGAGGGGAGUGGAAUUCCAGGUGUAGCGGUGAAAUGCGUAGAUAUCUGGAGGAACAUCAGUGGCGAAAGCGACUCCCUGGCCAAAGACUGACGCUCAUGUGCGAAAGUGUGGGUAGCGAACAGGAUUAGAUACCCUGGUAGUCCACACCGUAGACGCUGUCUACUAGCUGUGUGUGUCUUUAAGACGUGCGUA